UUCAUUAGCGGAGCAAUUUGCUGGUGCCCUGUGCAUGGGUGUGACGUCAGAGUCAGUUUGUAUGCUGCGGGAGAUGGUCAGUGAGGAGGUGCGUCACUUCGGUGAAAGUUAUAUCUCGCUGUCUAGUAGCCGUGGUUGAGACUGAGGUGCCUACAACAUGCCUUGGGGUUCAGUGUCGUCUCGUUUUGGUGACUGCUUUGAUAGCUUGCUAUGUCUGUGGUUAAUCAGGGCGAUUGAUGAUGUUGAUAACCUCUGCUGUUCGGGACUCUGGCGAAAUGGAGCGAUACGACCCGUCUUGAAACACGGACCAAGGAGUCUAACAUGUGUGCAAGUAUUAGGGCGUGGAAACCCAAAUGCGUAAUGAAAGUAAAUGCUACUUAUGUAGCUUUGGUAGGAAAGGGCUGUAAUGGUCCUGGCACUAUCGACCGAUCAUGAGCCUACGGGCGAAAGAUUUGAGUAUGAGCAUAUAUGUUGGUACCCGAAAGAUGGUGAACUAUG
This 498-nucleotide ribosomal RNA is filed under the name Saprolegnia sp. RNAcentral describes it as "partial large subunit ribosomal RNA". It matches the Rfam family "Eukaryotic large subunit ribosomal RNA", at positions 450 to 835 of the family's 3401-position model. Lineage: Eukaryota; Oomycota; Saprolegniomycetes; Saprolegniales; Saprolegniaceae. The record is from RNAcentral.